GGGUGGUAAUGCCGGAUGCUCCAUCACAUCGCAUGGUGUCUUGGGAAAGCCUUUGCGGCAUGGGAUGGGGUCGCGUCCUAUCAGCUUGAUGGCGGGGUAACGGCCCACCAUGGCUUCGACGGGUAGCCGGCCUGAGAGGGCGACCGGCCACAUUGGGACUGAGAUACGGCCCAGACUCCUACGGGAGGCAGCAGUGGGGAAUAUUGCACAAUGGGCGCAAGCCUGAUGCAGCGACGCCGCGUGAGGGAUGGAGGCCUUCGGGUUGUAAACCUCUUUUGUUAGGGAGCAAGGCAUUUUGUGUUGAGUGUACCUUUCGAAUAAGCACCGGCUAACUACGUGCCAGCAGCCGCGGUAAUACGUAGGGUGCAAGCGUUAUCCGGAAUUAUUGGGCGUAAAGGGCUCGUAGGCGGUUCGUCGCGUCCGGUGUGAAAGUCCAUCGCUUAACGGUGGAUUCGCGCCGGGUACGGGCGGGCUUGAGUGCGGUAGGGGAGACUGGAAUUCCCGGUGUAACGGUGGAAUGUGUAGAUAUCGGAAAAGAACACCA
RNAcentral lists this ribosomal RNA (544 nucleotides) under Bifidobacterium breve. RNAcentral describes it as "bacterial SSU rRNA". It matches the Rfam family "Bacterial small subunit ribosomal RNA", at positions 158 to 711 of the family's 1533-position model. The record is from RNAcentral. Lineage: Bacteria; Bacillati; Actinomycetota; Actinomycetes; Bifidobacteriales; Bifidobacteriaceae.